RNAcentral lists this ribosomal RNA (555 nucleotides) under Apiospora saccharicola. RNAcentral's name for it is "eukaryotic LSU rRNA". It matches the Rfam family "Eukaryotic large subunit ribosomal RNA", at positions 75 to 654 of the family's 3401-position model. Lineage: Eukaryota; Fungi; Ascomycota; Sordariomycetes; Amphisphaeriales; Apiosporaceae. The record is from RNAcentral.
UUCCCCUAGUAACGGCGAGUGAAGCGGGAACAGCUCAAUUUGAAAUCUGGCCCUUGGGUCCGAGUUGUAAUUUGCAGAGGAUGCUUUUGGUGCGGUGCCUUCCGAGUUCCCUGGAACGGGACGCCUUAGAGGGUGAGAGCCCCGUACGGUUGGACACCAAGCCUAUGUAAAGCUCCUUCGACGAGUCGAGUAGUUUGGGAAUGCUGCUCAAAAUGGGAGGUAUAUUUCUUCUAAAGCUAAAUAUUGGCCAGAGACCGAUAGCGCACAAGUAGAGUGAUCGAAAGAUGAAAAGCACUUUGAAAAGAGGGUUAAAUAGCACGUGAAAUUGUUGAAAGGGAAGGAUUUAUGACCAGACUUUUUCUAGGGGGAUCAUCCGGUGUUCUCACCGGUGCACUUCCCCUAGUUGAGGCCAGCAUCGGUUUCUGUCGAGGGAUAAAAGCUUUAGGAAUGUGGCUCCCUCCGGGGAGUGUUAUAGCCUGUUGCAUAAUACCUUGACGGGGACCGAGGUUCGCGCAUUGCAAGGAUGCUGGCGUAAUGGUUAUUAAUCACCCGUCU